GACGAACGCUGGCGGCGUGCUUACCACAUGCAAGUCGAACGAAGAGCGCUGGAAGCUUGCUUCUCUCAAUCUUAGUGGCGAACGGGUGAGCAACGCGUAAUCAACCUGCCCUUUAGAGGGGGACAACAGUUGGAAACGACUUCUAAUACCGCAUCCGAUCUAAUCUCGGCAUCGAGGAAAGAUGUAAGGUGGCCUCUACAUGUAAGCUAUCACUGAAGGAGGUGGUUGCGUCUGAUUAGCCAGAUGGGGGGGUAACGGCCCACCAAGGCGAUGAGAGGUAGCCGGACGGGGAGGAUGAGCGGCCGCAUUGGGACGGGGACACGGCCCAGUCGCCUACGGGAGGCAGCAGUGGGGAAUCUUCCGGAAUGGACGAAAGUCUGACGGAGCAACGCCGCGUGAGCGAUGACGGACUUCGGGUUGUAGAGCUCUGUUAAUCGGGACGAAAGGGCUUCUGGCGAAUAGUGAGAAGGAUUGACGGUACCGGAAUAGAAAGCCACGGCUAACUACGUG
Molecule: ribosomal RNA, 510 nt
Filed under: uncultured bacterium
Lineage: Bacteria
Description: partial 16S ribosomal RNA
Rfam family: Bacterial small subunit ribosomal RNA
Source: RNAcentral